Molecule: long non-coding RNA, 1922 nt
Organism: Taeniopygia guttata (zebra finch)
Lineage: Eukaryota; Metazoa; Chordata; Aves; Passeriformes; Estrildidae
Source: Ensembl
AAAAUAAGGCAGAAAGGAACCAGCCCAGCAUUUUAGGUUGGUUAUGCUCACAUCAGCCUGCACAGGGGAAACCUCAGCCAGGUCAGACCCUGUGCAAAGCCACAAAGGGCAGGGAGGGGAAUAAAACGUUCUGUGAGGGGAAUAAAUCUGUUCUAUGUAGUUCUGGCCAGUUUUCCACAAAUGCUGCUCUCUCUGGUGUUUUAUGUCUCGGGUAAGAGUAGAUCAAGUAAAAAAGCAAAUCACAGAACCCCAGAACUGUUUGGAUUUCCAGUCUGGUUUCCACCCCCUGCCAUGGCCAGGGGCACCUUCCAUGAGACCAAGUCCUACCCAAGCUGCUCAAAUCCCCACAAAUUUUAAAAAUCUUUUUCUCAAAAUGCAUUUUCAGGGCCUUUUGGGGCUGAUGGCUCCUCACCUGAACAGACUUCCUUAUUUUUGGGGCUGCCUGACUUGUUGGGCGGAUCUGAAGCAGGGUGUGAGUUUGGGGCGAUGCUGAGCUGUGCUGGCACCUUCCUCCCCUCUGCCUCCAGCUGUGCCCUGCCACACGGAGGGUUUGGGUCCAGAAUUCCUGCUGGGCACCCCACGGGGCCAGGGCAGCUCCCAAUGACACAAGUGCCUUUCCUGGAGGUCCCUCUAGCCCUGCCAGGGAGCUCCUGGGGUGGGUGGUGCUGCUGUGCUGGGGAUGGGCAGAGCUCACUGGGCUGGAAACUGGAGCUGCCCAGAGGAUCCUCUGGGAUCCCUCCUUCCACAGGAGUGUCCCGGGGAGCAGUUUUCACUCGGGUCUUGGCAGCUCCAGGAAACCUUCUGCAGCCACCUGGAGGCACGGGAGCAGUCCCCAGAGGUGUGGGAGGUGUGGGGAGGGGACAAACCCUGUCAGCACUUUGCUGUGGGACAUGCACGUGCUGUGGGUUGCUGCUGUCGUGGGGAAGCAUUCAGGAGAGCCUUCCUCCUCCUCCUCUUCCUCCUGCUGUCCCAGCCUGGGGCUGCUGGGACAGUGCCAGCUGCUGCAGCAGGACAGGAGACAUCUUCCAGCUCCCAUCCUCUUCGGAGCCAGCAGGAGCACUGACACCUCUGGGUGAGGGCAGGGGCUGGAGGAGAGCUAUUUUGGAGGGAAUUGAAGGCAGCUGAGGAUCAUCAGACCCCCAAACCCCUCUGCACCACCCAAACUCUGAGCUCAGGAGACCUCCUGCAGCACUGGGCACCCAUCCUGCCAGAACAGAGCAUCCGUGAGCAGCCAGAUCCUGAUGAGCAUUUCAAAAGCACUUUUCUCUCCUUUUGGCACCAUCUGAUCACACACAGAGCCCAGAGCCAGGCCUUGGGCUGCUCUUUGUGGAGAUUGGCCCCAACCCUGAGGGGUGGCACAGAGGGGACAGGGACACCUCGGCAUCCCAACGCUCCUGCAAAAGGCUCAGUUUUUAAUCCCAGCAGAAGAAUUACUCUAGCUCCUUAGAUUUGCCACCUGGCAGAAGGAGCUGAUGCAGGACAGGCACCUUCCCAAGGGAAGGUGACCCAUGCCAGGCCGUGAGAGGGUCCCAUUGUUCCAAAGCUGAGUUGAGGAAGGAGAUGUUCGCUGUCUGGUGGGGCCUUUAGCCAUGUGCACUUAGUCAGUAGGUGAGUAGAUGUUGCUGCCCGUAUCUAUCUCCCCUACCCAGUUGCUACGUGUGAACAAGUGUAUUUCUCCCCAGUGUUGUGGGUUCUGCCUGUGGUGACACGAGGAUGGAAAGGUAGGGACCACCUCGAGCUUCCUCUGUACAGGGUAGAGAGGAAACCUGGAUCGGUCCGAGGCACCGCUUGUAACUACAUUUGUUCAAGAAAUGUCAUCUUAACCCCAACUGUUGACACUUUAUGCAUGUGCUAAUUAAAUUUAAAAGAAAAAAGUAAAAGAAGAAAAAAAAAGGAAAAUAAUUAAUAAAGAUUUUAAGAGG